CCUUAUUACAUGUUAUUUCCUUCACCACUUAGAAGUGAUGUGAGGCUAGAAACUCCUGGCAUCACAUUUAUUGAACUGGCAUGCACUUUCAGGAUGAGUGACUGAUCAUCUCCCUCUGGUGUUUGCUGGACAGGUUUGUAGUGGAUGGAACAUUAGGACUGAAGAAGAUCAUUAGGAGAAAUUGAGAAACCACGUAAGCUUUUUGUCUGAAAUAACCACUUCCUCCCUGAAAUCCUAUUCUUCGACUACAAUUUUUUGGGAAAGCAUUAACAUUGUACAUAUCUCUGUCCUUCAUUGGACUGAGAGUUCCUGAACUCAAUUGUUUAUUUAUCUUUGUAUUUCUAGGGACUGGCACAGUGCCUGGUACAAAAUUCAUUCUCAAAUAAUAAUAUUUAUUAUAAUAAAUGCAAGACAACAUUUUAUAAAGAUAUCAAUAUUUAAUAUGGUUUCUAAAAUAAUGCAUUUUAAUUUUGCUUACUGAAGAAGAGAAUUCUCUUUAAGAACAUUAAAUCUAUGUCUUCUUAAAUUGAAUGGUAGGUUAUUAAAUUCAUGGCUUCCUGAUUCACCCUUGAUUCAUACUGAGGCCCAAGGCAGGCCAUAACUCUUACCCUAACAACCCAGAGCCCAGUUUAGACAAAGCUGGAAUUCUUAACAGGACAUUUGUGUAGUAACAAGAACAAUGAAUGUUAUUUAAAUGAAUAAAUUGAAAUUUUCUUAAUCUUAUAAUUAUGCCCUGCUGUAUCUAGAAAUAUAAGGAGAAACGGUUCAUUAAUAUAAAAAUUAUUAUUGGAUAAUCAUGAGUAUUUAUGGAGACUGGACUAUAAUUUUACUUUUUUUAAAGAUUUUAUUUUCUUUCCUUUUUCUCCCCAAAGCCCCCCAGUACAUAAUUGUAUAUUCUUCGUUGUGGGUCCUUCUAGUUGUGGCAUUAGGGGCUGGCCUCGUGGCCGAGUGGUUAAGUUCGCGCGCUCCACUGCAGGCGGCCCAGUGUUUCGUUGGUUCGAAUCCUGGGCGCGGACAUGGCACUGCUCAUCAGACCACGCUGAGGCAGCGUCCCACAUGCCACAACUAGAAGGACCCACAACGAAGAAUAUACAACUAUGUACUGGGGGGCUUUGGGGAGAAAAAGGAAAAAAAUAAAAUCUUUAAAAAAAAAUUUUAUUAAGUAAAAUUAUAAAACAAGCAGUACUUAAGUAUUAAUAGCAUCUUAAUUAUGAGUUAAUUACAGAAAAAAUUAACUGAAUAAUAAGCAUUUUAAAAUCUUUUGUCUACGUUAAUCAUUCAGAUUUAAACUCCAAAAAAUAUUG
Molecule: long non-coding RNA, 1304 nt
Filed under: Equus caballus (horse)
Lineage: Eukaryota; Metazoa; Chordata; Mammalia; Perissodactyla; Equidae
Description: lncRNA (ENSECAG00000059046.1)
Source: RNAcentral